GUCGGCAAAAUGGAUCCG
RNAcentral lists this small nuclear RNA (18 nucleotides) under Arabidopsis thaliana (thale cress). RNAcentral describes it as "snRNA_08457". Lineage: Eukaryota; Viridiplantae; Streptophyta; Magnoliopsida; Brassicales; Brassicaceae. The record is from RNAcentral.